AGUGAACGCUGGCGGUAGGCCUAACACAUGCAAGUCGAACGGCAGCACAGUAAGAGCUUGCUCUUACGGGUGGCGAGUGGCGGACGGGUGAGGAAUACAUCGGAAUCUACUUUUUCGUGGGGGAUAACGUAGGGAAACUUACGCUAAUACCGCAUACGACCUACGGGUGAAAGCAGGGGAUCUUCGGACCUUGCGCGAUUGAAUGAGCCGAUGUCGGAUUAGCUAGUUGGCGGGGUAAAGGCCCACCAAGGCGACGAUCCGUAGCUGAUCUGAGAGGAUGAUCAGACACACUGGAACUGAGACACGGUCCAGACUCCUACGGGAGGCAGCAGUGGGGAAUAUUGGACAAUGGGCGCAAGCCUGAUCCAGCCAUACCGCGUGGGUGAAGAAGGCCUUCGGGUUGUAAAGCCCUUUUGUUGGGAAAGAAAAGCGGCAGGUUAAUACCCCGCUGUUCUGACGGUACCCAAAGAAUAAGCACCGGCUAACUUCGUG
This 492-nucleotide ribosomal RNA is filed under the name uncultured bacterium. RNAcentral's name for it is "partial 16S ribosomal RNA". It matches the Rfam family "Bacterial small subunit ribosomal RNA", at positions 29 to 507 of the family's 1533-position model. The record is from RNAcentral.